AACCCGCCAUAUCUUCAACCCACCUUCCAUCAUCUCUCCCAGAAUCUCGUAUCUUCAGUUUUCAUCAUCAUAUUUCCCAUAUCUUGAUUCAACUGUUCAUAAUCGUUGCUACUACUAUCCAACAACGCUUAGCAAUUCAUCUUCCAGAAAGUUAUCAUGAGCAAACACGAAGCUACCGGAAAGAAGGAACAACUAAAGUGGACCGACUAUAGACUAUAUGGACGAGCUAUUCAUACAAUCCAUGAUAGCGCAACAGAAUAAAGGCUAUAGGAUUAAUGGCACUUUUACAACACAAGCAUACAACAAUAUGAUUGAGGAGCUGAGGACAAAGCUUCAAAUUGAUGUUACCAAAAAACAUUUGAAGAAUCAUUUGAAGACAUUGAAAGACCAUUUCUCCCAAUGGUACGAUAUGUUUCGUGGUACGUCGAUGAGUGGGUUCUCAUGGAAUUCAGAAACUCAAUUAAUUGAAGCGGAAGAUGAAGUGUGGGAUCAACUAAUAUACUCGAAGCCUGAAGCUGCAGUGUUGAAGAUGAAGAAAAUCUCAAACUUCAAUGAAAUGCUAGAACUGUUUGCAAAGGAUAGGGCAUCCGGUGCACAGGCUGCAACCGCUAAAGAAACGGUUCGCGUCGAAACGGUACGGGUCGAUGCGGUUCGCGUCGAAACGGUACGCGUCGAAACGGUUCGCGUCGAAACGGUACGCGUCGAAACGGUUCGCGUCGAAACGGUACGCGUCGAAACGGUACGCGUCGAAACAGUACGCGUCGAAACGGUUCGCGUCGAAACGGUAAAUUGCUUAUUCUAUCGUCUUCUGUAACAUAUGAUCUUGUGAUGCCUUUAAAGAGCUUAACUGUGCUAAAUUAUUAUCAACUACUGAUGCUUUGUUUAUGAAAAUGCAAUAUCAUAUAAGAUGGUCAAACUUAAAGAACUAUGUUAAAUUGAGGAUGCUGGUGACUACAAGAAUCUUUGCCAUAUUAUUCCACAAGUUUAGGUUGGUUGAAAUUGUUGGUAAUUUUAGUGUUAUCAACAAUUUUAGGAUAUUGGAUUAACUCGUUGAUAGAGGAUAUAACAUUGGACAUUGAACGAGUUAGGUGCCGCGGGAGUGCGGGCUCGAUUUAAUUCUAAUGUUAUUUGAGUUUUAUAUAAAUAUCCUUUUGGGCUUAAUGAUUUUAUAAUGGUCAUAGUGUUUUGAAACUAAAGUUAAUUAAUUUGUUUUAGCUUAUUAAUGGUUUAGAAAUGUUUUACUUUAGUUUACUAAGGAACUAGUUUUGGUCGGUUGUUUUAAAAGACCCAUUACUAUCAAAUAAUGGCCAUGUAAUCCAAUUGGCUGUAACUUUGGUUGGAGAGUUAUUCAAUGCCGGCUGCCCACUUCUGAAGCUUUGAGUAAAAGGAAGAUCAUAAACGGUCCAACCGGGUGUUAUCUAUGCUGGUCGGAUGAGGAGACGGUAAACCAUCUGUUUACAGGUUGCAUCGUGGCGAAUUUGGUUUGGCAGGAAGUAUCUAAGUGGUGCAACAUACCACACAUCUUUGCUUUCUCAAUAGGUGACCUGCUAAAGAUUCAUAAGCAUAUUCCGGGGAGCGAGCAGAAGAGGAAAAUGGUGCAGGCUGUGAUCUUGUUAGGCUGCUGGAGCCUAUGGAGGGCAAGAAACAACCUUGUUUUCUCAAAUAUCACGGUUAGUGUUAAGGAUAUUAUUGGUGAGAUGAAAUCCUUGGGCUUUUUGUGGCUGAAACAUAGAGCUAACGGCGAGACUUUAACGUGGGAGAAGUGGGAAAAAAUCGAUGUAUAAUGUCUUGUUUUGUUCUCGGUUUCUCUGUUGUAUGGCCCGGGCCCCGCUAGCGCCUUGCUAAUGGGGUUUUCGGUUUUGUUGUUAA
This is a long non-coding RNA of Helianthus annuus (common sunflower), 1869 nucleotides long. RefSeq lists it as uncharacterized. The record is from RefSeq and is a predicted model, not a curated record. NCBI's taxonomy places the organism in Eukaryota, Viridiplantae, Streptophyta, Magnoliopsida, Asterales, Asteraceae. The transcript has 3 exons.